GUUUAAUUAAGUUCUCACUUAAUUGUGGCUGAAAAAUUUACCACCGGGCGCCCAAGUAUCGUAAACACCACCAAAGUACAUUGCUUUCCAAACAAGUAACCAUGCACCUAGACCUAAAAUGAUUAAGUGGUAACCUAAAAUGUUUGUCAUUUUGUUUUUGUCUUUCCA
RNAcentral lists this antisense RNA (168 nucleotides) under Gonium multicoccum. RNAcentral's name for it is "Antisense RNA which regulates isiA expression". The stretch from base 40 to 168 matches the Rfam family "Antisense RNA which regulates isiA expression", at positions 59 to 187 of the family's 187-position model. The record is from Rfam by way of RNAcentral. Lineage: Eukaryota; Viridiplantae; Chlorophyta; Chlorophyceae; Chlamydomonadales; Volvocaceae.